This 425-nucleotide ribosomal RNA is filed under the name uncultured bacterium. Its description in RNAcentral is "partial 16S ribosomal RNA". It matches the Rfam family "Bacterial small subunit ribosomal RNA", at positions 354 to 796 of the family's 1533-position model. The record is from RNAcentral.
GUGGGGAAUCUUGCACAAUGGGCGAAAGCCUGAUGCAGCCAUGCCGCGUGAAUGAUGAAGGCCUUAGGGUUGUAAAAUUCUUUCGUCAGGGAUGAUAAUGACCGUACCUGAAGAAGAAGCUCCGGCUAACUUCGUGCCAGCAGCCGCGGUAAUACGAAGGGGGCUAGCGUUGCUCGGAAUUACUGGGCGUAAAGGGCGCGUAGGCGGACAGCUUAGUCAGAGGUGAAAGCCCAGGGCUCAACCUUGGAAUUGCCUUUGAUACUGGCUGUCUUGAGUUUGGGAGAGGUGAGUGGAACUCCGAGUGUAGAGGUGAAAUUCGUAGAUAUUCGGAAGAACACCAGUGGCGAAGGCGACUCACUGGCCCAAUACUGACGCUGAGGCGCGAAAGCGUGGGGAGCAAACAGGAUUAGAUACCCGUGUAGUCC